This is a long non-coding RNA of Columba livia (rock pigeon), 603 nucleotides long. RefSeq lists it as uncharacterized. The record is from RefSeq and is a predicted model, not a curated record. Lineage: Eukaryota; Metazoa; Chordata; Aves; Columbiformes; Columbidae. The transcript is spliced from 4 exons.
AGGUACUCAUUUUCUUGUGAGGGAGGUGAAACUUCAGUGUCUCUGUGUGACUCCAAGAAGGAGCUUUUCUACAAGCAGUGGAUUUGCUUAGUGUUGUUUGAGAUUUUUCUCUCCUACUUCCUUCAUAAAGUCAGCAGACAGGAUGUGGAUAGUAAGGAAAAAAGCAGAAGAGAAGCUGAGGAUGGAAAGGGAGCUGACUACCUGGCCUACUGCUGCGACGGGAGGCUGUGCUCGUGCUGUUGAGAGCUACUUUCCAGCUCUGCUCAGCUGGACCAGAUGAGGAGAAUGGCAUCCAGGCAGGAAUAUUUUUACCCAAAUCUGUAAGCUGGUUUCAGCAUUGCUGAUGUGCAAGCUGCUGUUCUGUUCCAACACAGUAUAGAGUCCCGUGGUGUUUGCACCCACCAGAUAGCCCAGCAGCGCAUGGCAGAAGAGGCGACCAUCUGGUCAGACCCACCAGCCACAUACACUGGGUAAGUGAGAGCUGGUUCAUUAUAGACUAAAACAAGUAACUGUGGAAAACGGUCAUUUGACACCUUUUAGAUAGAAUACAGCUAAUUUCUGAACAACAAAGUUCCAUCAUUUGUGUUGCAGAUGCACUUUUAU